This 706-nucleotide ribosomal RNA is filed under the name uncultured bacterium. Its description in RNAcentral is "bacterial SSU rRNA". It matches the Rfam family "Bacterial small subunit ribosomal RNA", at positions 796 to 1510 of the family's 1533-position model. The record is from RNAcentral.
CUAGCCGUAAACGAUGGACACUAGGUGUUGGAGGAUCGACCCCUUCAGUGCUGUUCUGUUAACGCGUUAAGUGUCCCGCCUGGGGAGUACGGUCGCAAGGCUAAAACUCAAAGGAAUUGACGGGGGCCCGCACAAGCGGUGGAGCAUGUUGGUCAAUAGGAUGAUACGCCAAGAACCUUACCAGGGCUUGACAUGUUUCUGACAGCCUGGGAAACCAGGUCUUCCACUUCGGUGGACAGAAUCACAGGUGGUGCAUGGUUGUCGACAGCUCGUGUCGUGAGAUGUUGGGUUAAGUCCCGCAACGAGCGCAACCCUCACCGAAUGUUGCCAGCGGGUAAUGCCGGGAACUCUUUCGGGACUGCCUGAGCAAUCAGGAGGAAGGAGAGGACGACGUCAAAUCUGCAUGCCCCUUAUGUCCUGGGCUGCAAACGUGCUACAAUGGCCGGUACAGAGGGAAGCGACACCGCGAGGUUGAGCAAAUCCUCAAAAUCGGUCCCAGUUCGGAUUGGAUGUCUGCAACUCGACUCCAUGAAGUUGGAAUCGCUAGUAACCGCGGAUCAGCAACGCCGCGGUGAAUACGUUCCCGGGCCUUGUACACACCGCCCGUCAGAUCACGAAAGCUGGCAGCGCCCUAAGUCCGUCUUCGGGCGGCCGAAGGUGAGGCCAGUGAUUGGGAUCAAGUCGUAACAAGGUAACCAAGGGCGAA